GACGUCUCCCUCCCACCUCAGGCGUGAAACCCAAAUCAUAGGAGCAUAGGAGCACCGCGAGGCCCAAAGCUCAUCCGUGGAUGAAACCUCAGGCGUCUUCCUCCCAUUUCUCACCGUUCGACCCCUUCUCUUCAGCAAACCCUAAUCCAAAGAGGAACAGAGAAACCCAUUGGAUUUACGGAAACGACGAAUUCGGCUCCAACAUCGAAGAUCAACCUUGAAUACGAGUGGAGUCAGUGUUGCAUCCGCGUCUUCACGAUCUGAAGAAGAACAGGAUCAAGUGAGUUUAGUAGGAUACGCAUUACAAGUUCGUCGCCAUGUCGUCGGGGAAAAGGAACAACAAGGAGAAGAUGAUGCGGCGCAAUUGAUUUCAGCAAUGGAUUGACAUGGACACCCUGCGCAGCUUCCAACAAAAUUUAUUGCAAAACAAUCAGUGAUGAUGGAUUGAAGCUCCUCCAGUCGCACAUGAAGACAUUAGCAGGGAAAAUGAUCAUCAUGUUUUCUUUUAGACACUAGCAACUCCAGCUGCGUAUGAAGAAAAGGUCAUCAGAUAUGUUCAAUCAAGCAGCCAACUCUUGCUACCUGACUGGAAAUUUUGGCCUUUACGAUGUUUUCUCCCUUGAGAAAAGAUGCCGUGACAUGAUCAGAUUUUGUAAUAUGAAAGAGGAAAAAGCAGACUAUAAAAGACCAUCAAAAAUAAUAAACAGGGAUUUGAAUGUUCCUAAUUUAACUAGAGCUAUUGCUUGAUGAUAAAGAUCAAUGUAUCCGAUUCUGAC
Musa acuminata AAA Group (dessert banana) is the source of this 776-nucleotide long non-coding RNA. RefSeq lists it as uncharacterized. NCBI's taxonomy places the organism in Eukaryota, Viridiplantae, Streptophyta, Magnoliopsida, Zingiberales, Musaceae. The record is from RefSeq and is a predicted model, not a curated record. The transcript is spliced from 4 exons.